This 736-nucleotide long non-coding RNA is filed under the name Zea mays. Its description in RNAcentral is "long non-coding RNA (ZMAY_LNC005703)". The record is from RNAcentral. Lineage: Eukaryota; Viridiplantae; Streptophyta; Magnoliopsida; Poales; Poaceae.
UAAAGUAAAACUUCAUGUGACAUGACUUCCUAGGAAUAUUAUUUUUCUGCCUGUAGAACUGAUGCAAGUUCGUGACGGUUUAAUCUUUAACCAUCAUGGUGCAGACUUUAGCCUAUCAUGUUCAUACUCUUAGCGUGGUAAAAGUUAUCCAUGCAGUUUAAAACUAUUGUUGGCUUCCUUUACAUUAUCUAUUUGACACCACAUGAAUAAUACUGGAGUAUGUUAUCUGACGAAGGAGCAAAUAUCCUUUUAGCGAAAUUGUUAUUUUCUAUGUUUUCAAGUCGUCCGAUUAAUCGUGAUUAGUCGCCCUAGUCGGUCAGCUAGAACGACCAGCAAGUCGUCUGACUUAAAAACAACUUAUUUUUAUUAGACACAUAUAUGUGACUAUACUCCCAUGUUACCUUUCUUUUGGCAUAGAAUCAGUCAGUAGGAUAUUGUUUUGGAUGAGGCAUUAAUCGGUUCUUAGACUUCAACCAUGUUUUCUGAGUUCAUGCAACAAUUUACAUAAGUGACAGUAUUAAUCUUCAUGAAGCUGUGAUGAAAUUGAAUGCACUGGUUGUUACUGUUUUUAACCAUUCAAUAUGUUGUGCAUGGGAAGUCAUUUUUUGUCACGGAAACAUGCAGUCGUGGGCAUUAACACCAGUUCUUAUUUGCAGUUGUACUAAUCCUCAUUACUUUUUCUUAGUGAAACCUACUUUGUAAGCAUGUGCUGAAGCCUAUUCUUAUUUUCAGGGUG